AGUCACAGAAGAAAUACCGACAUUAGCUCUUUUCUUUAUCAAUAAUGUAAUCAUUUCAGUUAUUAGUCAGGCCAAAAAAAUUACAUUUUUUAAAUUCUGAAUUCUGGUUUGCAGAGUUCAGCUUCUCAGAAGAGGGCGAGGGCUGAGUGGAAUUCCAAACGACAUAUUCAUUAUUUACAUUCUUAUGAUUGUAUGCCUAAGGUGAUACUACUUUAGUGGUUUUUGUUUUUUGUUUUAGUGUAACGUGACCACCUUGGACUAAUGCCAAACUCGGGUGUUUUCUCGUGCUCGUCUUCUCAUUUGAGCGACGUUACGUUAAUGCAGCAUGAGCCUGGCGGUAACGUUUUUUGUUUGUUUUUUUGCUCAUACUAACUCUAAUAUCUAUAUAGCUGCGUGACGUAUGUUUAAAAAUGUUGGGCCAAGUAUGCUCCACGUUACUAAGUCACUGCUCUCACGUCUGUCGGGACGUGGGAAGCGGUAACGCGGUGUCAUAGAGCUACUUUGCUAGCUAGUUAGCAUCGAGCUGGCUAGUUAGCAUCGAGCUAGCUAGUGCAAAGCCUCUGCGGGGUCCCCGUGACCACCGGUAGUGAGGGAGCCGCCCCGGCCCCUGAUUGGAGGAGUGGCUGCCACGUGCACAUUUCUUUACUAUGUCCUCCUGAGCCACGCCGCCGGGACACGUUCAGUGUUCGGGGCUACCUGUCCGGAAGCGUCUCGUCGAGGUUUCGACUGCGCUGCCCACCAAGCUCCUGCAGAGUGAACAGAGGCCAGCCGCACACCUGUAACUUUUUUUUCUCCACGCAUUAAGUCGGGACUCUUUCUUUUAAAAAAAAAAAAAAAAACCCUCCACAAUGGCUUUGAGCUCCUUCGACAUCGACGCGCCGCGAUGGGAUCAGUCCACGUUCAUGGGCCGACUGAAACACUUCUUCAACAUCACCGACUGCCGAACGGCGCUCCUGCCUGACUCGCGCUUGGACGAGGCCAAAGCUUUAGUAGAAAGCUGCAGGGCGGGAUCACUGCCUCCCGGCACCACAGAGGAGCAGCUCCACUAUGCUAAGAAGCUGUACGACUCCGCCUUCCACCCGGACACAGGAGACCGCAUGAACAUCAUUGGCCGCAUGUCCUUCCAGGUGCCCGGAGGCAUGGCCAUCACCGGCUUCAUGCUGCAGUUCUACAGGACAGUUCCUGCCGUGGUGUUCUGGCAGUGGGUGAAUCAGUCCUUCAACGCUCUGGUCAACUAUACGAACCGUAACGCUGCGUCCCCAAUCACUCCCAAGCAGAUCGGAGUCGCCUACAUCACAGCAACCAGCACAGCGUUGGCAACAGCAGUCGGACUCAACCUCUACACAAAGACAGCUCCUCCUCUAGUGGCUCGCUGGGUUCCCUUUGCAGCGGUGGCAGCUGCCAACUGUGUUAAUAUUCCUAUGAUGAGGCAACAGGAAAUUCUGAACGGCAUCGCUGUCACAGAUGAAAAUGGGAACAAGCUGGGCCACUCUACGAAAGCAGCUGUGAAAGGCAUCACGCAGGUAGUCGUCUCUCGGAUCACCAUGGCCGCACCAGGAAUGAUUAUCCUCCCCAUCGUCAUGCAGAGGCUGGAGAAGCACAAGUUCAUGCAGAGAAUCACGUAUCUCCACGGACCAAUCCAAGUGAUGAUGGUGGGCGUGUUUUUAAUCUUCAUGGUGCCAGCUGCCUGCUCCCUGUUCCCUCAGAGAUGCUCCAUGGCUGUGUCGAAGCUGGAGCCCGAGCUGAGAGACUCCAUCGUGUCUCAGUACGGAGACAAAGUACAACAAGUCUACUUCAACAAAGGCCUCUGAGGCUGCGAGCACUGAUUACUGUCACCUCAGACUGUAUGUAUGUGUACGUCUUCAUUUUCCACUUCGUUAUUAUUAAAUUACGUAAUGCGGAUUUAGCUUUGACGUCCUCAAAUCGGUGCUUAACUGUGUGGGAACACGCUUUUGGAUUAUUUUGAUCAAUGGUGUCUUUCUUCAGGGUCUUUAAUCUCUAAUACUGUCCACUGAACACGGCAGAUAAAAGGGGGCGCAGUGUUCUCCUGUCAUGAAACCAAAUGAGGAACUUUGCUUUGCCUCAACAAAUCUCUGUGUUGGUUCAUCUGUCACAUUGCGACUCAUCUGUAAUGGUUUUCUUUGCUUUUUUUCUUUUUGUAGCAUCUGUAUGUCAACCCUCUUUACAGCCUGUGCCUUCUACAAAGUGGCAGAAGCAACAACACUGCUGGACCUUUUUUUUUUUUUUUUACUGAUACUGAACUGGCUUUACUGUGGAACUAAAGCAAUACUUCUGUGCAUGGGUUUAGUCUGGUGUGGUAGAGAAUGCUGCCCCCUUCUGCCAGAACAAAGGAACUGGAGAACCCGGCGCAAAAAAACCUGCACAACAUAAAUGAUCUCAAUGAGAGAGACAAAGGGAGAGAGGAAAAACAAACUAUUGUACUGGAGAGAGAAACAGAAAAUGACAUGUGGUUGUAACAUAAAUAGAUGAGGAAAAGUCGGAUGAGUUUCCGUUGUUUUGUUAUUAAGGGUCAUUUGGUUUCUCCUCCUGCACCUCAGGAUCAGGGAGGAACAUUCGUGAGGGACUGUAGCUUGUCAAGAUCACACAAAAAAUUCUUAAGGGUAGAAACAGGUUUUAAGAUUUCUGAAAGUUAUCGUGACAGGCCUUCUAAUUGCAUCUACUGAACUCAAAUAGUCUUUAAUAUUAAGCAGUGGGGGUUUUUUUCAGAUCGAUUUCAGUUAUUUAUAGUCAAUUACAAACCUGUGCUACAGGUGAAAGAGCCGGAGCUCUCUGAAGGCCCUGUGCGGAGGUGUGUCUGGGCAGUCUGGGAUCGGGAAGCGGGAUCCAUCCCGAUCCGGUGAACCCCCGUGCGGCCGUGAGCUUUUCCUCGUGAAGUCCUUAAAUAUGAAAGCUGAUGAUGUCACGAUGAUGGAUCAGAGUCCUGUGAAGUUGUCUUUGAUCUGAAGCAUUGCAUUUCAUUAAUGAUUGUUGCUGCAGCAUUAAUACUCCAACAAAAAAUGUUCUCCCAUUUGCAGUUAGACCUGUUGUCCUUGAACCAAUUUGAAUUUACUUCCCACAGAGGAGCUGAGCACAUUGAAUAAACACUGUAGCCAAUGACAUCAAAUUCGAGUGCAGCACGUCCAGAUGUGCCCUGGACAUUUGCAGAGUGUCAGGCUAUUAGAGUUUGUCCUCUGGAGGUCAUGAAUCAUGAUCACAGGGGCUUAUUUGCAGAAAAUUUACAUCUAAAUUCACACAUGACGUCGUUAAUGUAAAACACGAAUUAGCAACUCAAACUUCACAUUGCAACAAUUCGCAGUAGACAAACGCAUUUUGAGUAGAAGCAAAUGGCAGAAGAAUAGAAAGUAGAAAAGCAAGUCAUGCUGCCAAUUUAUCAUUCCAAAAUUUCAGGAAUGUUUGUAUGUAUGUAUGUCUGUCGAGAGCUCAUGAGGGCUGAUGAUGUCUGAAGCCAUUAAGACAGACAGAAGUUAAACUACUAAAUGAAUGUGAUGGUAGAGACGGAAUACUUUGAGUCAAAGUUGAACAGAUUAACAGUUUGAAAGUUGGGAUCUUGUUUGGACUGAUGGAAAGCCUGCUGAGAUUUUAAGCAUGUCUUCAAAACUUGACUAAAAAUACAAAUUGUAUUUCAUAAAGGAAAAUUACUAUAUGUAAUUAUGUGUAUAUAAAUAUAGAAAUGGGUAUAGGUCCUUUUAACUGACCACAAAAAAGUACUAAAAAGAACUUUAAGCAGAUAUUUGAAUUGUAAUACUUUAAUUCAAUUUAAAUGUAAUCAAAAUAAAGAUUAUUAUUUUAAUAUACAAGGAAACUGGAGAACUCAGCAAAAACCUGAGCCACCUCAUCACAACAUACACUAUCUCAAGGCACGUUAGGUUGAGCCCUUACAAUAUUACAGAGAAACCCAACAGUUCCCACAAUGAGCGAGCUCUCGGCGACCGUGGAGAGAGAAAAAAAUCCCCUUUAACUGGAAGAAACCUCUCGCAGAGCCAGACUCGGUUGUAGGUGAGAAGAGAAAUGGGGGAGAUGAGAAGAAGGGGGAGAGAGGAGGGACCAGGAACUGUUGUGUAACUGUCGUCUUUAAGCAAUGUCAGCCUCAUUCUCAUGAUGGCAAUAAUGAUACUGACACGUAUAGAUGUAAUGAUGUUGUUAAUGAUAAUGAUGUCCAGUUAAUAAUAGCGUUACUUUUAAUAAUAAUGCUGGUAUUAUUGUUAUUAUUGAUAAUAAUAAUAUUAAUCAUAUAAAAAUAAUUUAAUUUUAAUAGAUUUUUUUUUUAUUUUGUGAGAUCACCACAACAUAAAUUAUCUAAAGGCACCUCUGGAGUCAGUAAUGAGGACAGCGAGAGACAGAGAGAGAUGGUGGCAAAACCAAACAGUUGCAGAGAGAAAACACAAAGUUAGUUACAUGUAGUGGAGACAACAAUACAUGGGGAAAUUGAGUUUCAGUUGUUUUGUUGCCAAGGGUCAUUUGGUUUCCUCCAUCUCUGUGGUUUCUUCAGACCCUGAAAGUGUCGGAUUCUGUUCCAGGUUAAAGCCUGUGGCUUUUUGUGGAUCUCCUCCUGCACCUCAGUCUCCAUGGGUUUGGGAUCAGGGGAAAUGUCCGUGAGGUACUGCAGCUUGUCAAGAUCACGCAAAAGCUUCUCAAGGGUAGAAACAGGCUUUAAGAUUUCUGCUAUGACAUUCAUCCCUAGCACACCAUGUUGGGUGCUACAACAGUCCUCAUCCUGAACUAUCAACACUGCUUUCCCUAUAAUUUCAAAGCCUCCAUUCUGAAAAUCUAGCACUACAUACCCUUGGUAUGGGACUUCGAGUCCAUUGGCUGCUUUAAUUUUAAGCCAGGGUAUUUUAGUUUUGUCUCUCAUUUGAAUAUCCUUAAAGCUGUUUUGGAAAAGGGAGUAGCUAAGAAGAGUGACCCUAGAACCUGUAUCCAACUUGAAUAGGAUUUUAACCCCAUUUACCACCAUUUCCACCAUUGUAUAGGGACCUACAAAAGAGGACUUAUCAGGGACAUCCUUUACAUCACCGGAUAGUCGGCCUGCAGUGGCCGGGGACGUGGAAAACCUACCAGUUUUAGGUUUGGGAUCAGUGAGAGCAUCUUGCAGCUUGUCAAGCUCAGACUCAAAGUUGUCAAAACUAGCAACAGACUUCCAGAUUUCUGAUAUGACAUUCGUCCCCAGCAAUCCAUAUUGGGUUCCAAAGUAGUCAUCCUUAACUAUCAAGACUCCUUUCCCCAUAAUUUCAAUGUCUCCAGCCUGAAAAUCUAGCUCUAGAUACCCUUUGAAUGGGAAACGGAGCCCAUUGCCUCCUCUAAUUUUGAGCCAGGGUAUUUCAGUUGUGUCUCUCAUUUGAAUAUCGCUAAAGCUUUUUAGAAAAAGGGAAUGGCUAAGAAGAGUUACUUUAGCACCUGUAUCCAGCACAAAUGGGAUUUUUACCCCAUUUACCACCAUCUCCAGGCACGGACUGCUGCGUGUAAAAGAGGACUUAUCAGGGACAUCCUGCACAUUACUGGUCAGUUGUCCUGCAGUGGCUGGGGAGGUAGAAAACCCACAGGGUUGGCACAUCAUCGAGGGCAGGUUGUCAACCUGCUGUCUAAUGGGAAGCCUAUCAGCUCCAAAGCUUUGGCUGUCCUCUUGGUAUGAGGUGCUUCUGGAUGCAGGGUACUUUGGCUUCUCCCAUAUCUGUGGUUUAUUCAGCUCGUGAAAGUGUUGGUCUCUUUCCCUUUGCUUCAUAGGAAUUUCCUCAGACACCUCAUCCUGAAUAGGUUUGGGAUCAGGGGAAGCAUUUGUGAGGAUCUGCAGCUUCUCAAAAUGAUGCUGUAGGUCAACAGCCAACUGCCUCACUCUGAGCAUGUCAGCUUCAUACCUUUGGAUGUCCUCUUCGUAUGAGGUGGCGAUGGGUGCAGGGUCCUUUGGCUUCUCCCAUCUUUGUGAUUUAUUCAGCUCCUGAAUGUGUUGGACUCUUUCCCGUGUUGAAGCCUUUUGCCCUGUGGGGCUAUGCCCCGACAGCUCAUUGUGCAUAGGUUUGGGAUCUGGGGAAACAUUUGUGAGGUUCUGCAGCUUCUCAAAAUUAUGCUGUAGGUCGACAGCCAACUGCCUCACUGUGAGCAUGUCAGCUUCAUAUCUUUGGAUGUCCUCUUCAUAUGAAGUCCUGACUUUAUCCAGUUCUUCUUGGAGAAUCUUUGUUUUCUCCCUCCCCACCUGAAACUCCUCUGCCAUCAUUUGACUGAGGGCGUCCUCUUUAGCCUUCAGGUUUUUCAACAACAGCUGGUCUUGCGACACACUGUCUGUAUGAGAUUUGCUUUCACUGUCAAGUCCGCGCUGAAUUUCAUCAGUUGCAUAUAAUUGACUUUUAUGAACACAGCUCAUCAAAAGUCCCUUAUGCGGUUCAUCUGAACCUUUGUCCUCUUUACUGUUUUUCCUUCUUUUGGGCAUGGUGGAGAAUGUGGUGGUAGUAUAAGGAUUUAAGUAACCUAGAUGUGGUAAGUUGGUAGUCGGUGAGCUGACGUUGUCCAAAGUGUUUUCUUCCUCACUUAUUUUGUCACUUGGUUGAAAGGUUUAAAAUGAUUUUACUGGAGGGCUGGAGUCGUAGAUAUACAUGAGAGCCGAUGAUGGAUGUUAUCCCUUUGAAGUUGUCUUUGAUCUUUAAGAUUCCAUUUCUUCUUCUACUGUUUUUUUCUGCGUGUUUACUAUCUAAAUCAUAAUAUGACAUUUCAAAUGUAAACAUUCAAAUGUAAAAUGUGAGGACCUGCCUCACUCUCAAUACUGAAAACUGGUUCAAACCUGUAAUUGUGAUAAAGCCCAUCAGCUGUUUUAAUUUUUUAAUCUUUUAUUUCGGUUCUGAAUCUCAUUUGAAUAUCCGUAAAGCUUUCAUGGAAAAGAGAGUGGCUAAGAAGAGUUACUUUAGCACCUGUAUCCAGUAUGAAGGGGAUUUUAACCCAAUUAACCACCAUUUCCAGGUGUGGACAUUAGCCUAAAAAGAGGGCUCAUCAGGGACAUCACCAGUUAUCCUCCUCCAGGAUGAAUCAUUUUGCUUUGUGAGGAUCGCCUCAGGUUCCUCAGUCUCCAUGGGUUUGGGAUCGGGGAGGGCAUUCGUAAAGGACUGCAGCUUGUCAAGCUCACGCUCAGGGUUGUCAACACUAGGAACAUACUUCAAGGUUUCUGAUAUGACAUUGAUCCCAACACUCCUUUUCCCAUAAUCUCAACAUCUCCAGCUUGAAAAUCUAGCACUACAUACCCUUGGUAUGGGACUGUGAGCCCUAUCAUUUUAAGCCAGGAUAUUUUAAGUUGUGUCUCUCAUUUGAAUAUCGUUAUAGCUUUUUCAAACAAGAGAAAGGCUAAGAAAAGUUACUGGAGAACCUCUAUCCAGCACAAAUGGGACAUUAACCAUAACUUAGCACCAUUUACAGGUGUGGACAAUAGUGUCUGAAAGAGGUCAUUCCAUUGCAUUGGCCAGGGAGGUCAAAAGCCUGCCGAGUUGGCACGUCAUCGUGGGCAUGUUGUCAGUCCACUGCCUCAUCGUGAGCCUUUCAGCUUCGUACCUUUUGCUGUCCUCUUGGUAUGAGGUGCUGCUGGGUGCAGGGUCCUUUGGCUUCUCCCAUCUCUGUGGUUUCCUCCAUCCCAGAAAGUGUUGGACUCUUUCCCAGGUUGAGGCCUUUUGCUUUGUGGGAACCUCCUCAGACACCACAUUCUGCAUGGGUUUGGGAUCAGGGGAAGCAUUUUUGUGAGGAUUUGCAGCUUCUCAAAAAGAUGCUGUAGGUCAACUUCCUCACUGUGAGCAUGUUAGCUUCAGACCUGAUCCAGUUCUUUUUGGAGAAUCUGUUUUCUCCCUUUCCCCACCUGAAUCUCCUCUGUCAUCUUUUGACAGGCAGUAUCCUGCUCAGCCCUCAGGUUUUGCAGCAAGAGCUGGUUCUGUGACACACUGUCUGCAUGACACUUGCUUUCACUGUCAAGUUCACGCUGAAUUUGAUCAGUUGCAUAUAAUUGAGUUUUAUGAAGACAGUUCAUCGAAAGUCCCUCAUGUGGCUCAUCUGAACCAUUGUCCUCUUUCCAGUUGAUCCAUUCUUUUGUGCACAAUGUAGAAAUUCCUGGUAAUUUCAGGAUUUAAGUAACCUAUAUAAGUUGGUAGUCCCUGAGCAGAUGUUGUCUUAUUGGAUCCAACGAUUUUUCUUCCUCACAAUGUUUGUCCCUAGGUUGAAGGGUUGAAAUGAUUUUACUGGAGAGCUGGAGUCCUAUAUACACAUGAGAGCUGAUGAUGUCACGGUGAUGGAUGGAAUCCCUUUGAAGUUGGCUUUGAUCUUAAGGUUUCCAUUUCUUUUUCUACUCUUUUUUCAGUGUUUACUAUUGAAAUCACAGACUGAGAUUCAAAUGUAAAAUGUAAAGAGCGGCCCACUUUCAAAACUGAAAACAGGUUUAAAACCUGUUAUUUGAUCACAAAUCGACUAACGGGCCAAACAACUUCCCCUUUCCUUUACAACCUUUGCCUAACACCCAGCAGGUCAGUUGGUAUGUUUGCCUUGAGAUCCAGAGACCAGACUGGAAACUAAAGGGGACCAAUCCGGUCGGGGCCCUGAAGGUCAGAAACGUCUUACCCAAGGAAAUUAGGCUGUCAGAGUCAAAGCAGACUUUUAAAUUUCUCUAUUAUUCUAAUUAUUUAAAGCCCCAGUGUGCAAUUUUUGGUUCUCUUCUUGCAAACUGCAACUGACCGAGCACCCGACAGGGACACUAUAUGGUGGCGCACCGCUAAUUCCAGCGCUGAAAAUUCAAUGUGAAUGCGACAUAUUCUGGACCGUUUUGUGCAACAAGCAUAUACAACACGACGUAGCAAACAUGGCGACUCACACGGAGGUCGGUCCACUUCAUGUAACUAUAUUUAACUCAUUCAAAAUUGACGAAGAACAACAGUUCUUUGUCGCAGGUGAUUAUACAUAUAUGACCAAAGUUAUAGCAACAAUAUUUUCAAUUUCUGUGAAUAAGUUAUUCUAAAUAUUACACACUGUAGCUUUAACUGUUUGUUUCAUUGAUUUGUUAUCUUUCUUAUUGUGAAGCCUGUGUAACUGUGAUUUGUGCUAUAUAAAUAAAUGUAUUCUGAUUAUUAUCAUCAUUAUUAUUAAUACUACAGAAAACAAAGAGCCUCCACAAAUAAAAACAAAAGCAGUCUACCAGAGGUAGGCCUGUCACCAUAAUUACGUUAUCGACUUAUCGUAUGAUACAUGAUGAUGAACUCAAUCAUUUUUCUUUACCUCGAUAACAGCCAUUGUGUCUACAUGCGUGUUUGUUGACAUAAGACAUAAGAAUGAAUGUCAACUUCUCAUCGUAUGAUUAGUCAAUUACUAAUAAAAUGUCCGAAAAUAAAUGAUUUCUUAAUAUUUUUUUAAGUCACUUUUCAAAACCGAUUUCCAUAGACUUGCUCUUAUGUGAUGUCGUCAUUUUAUAUAUUUUUUAUACAGAUAUUUGACCUGAAAAUGAUUACCUGGCUGGUAACUGUAUUAUUGUUGGAAUGCUGAUUUUAAUUAUCUGUGAUUUGUAUGUUUUUGUGAAGACACUUUGUGAAGCUACUUCUGAAAGUUGCCGUAUAAAUAAACGUAUUAUUAUUAUUAUUAUUAUUAUUAUUAUUAUUAUAAGAUGAUUCAUCCUCGUGGCCCCGUGGCCCUCAGAUCUCCGGUUGUUCCAGCCCGACAGCGGAAGGAGGACGCAGCGCCCUCUGCCGGUUCAGGCCGUCACCGCCGGUGGGAGGAGUCGCCGCUGGCAGCUUUUAUAAAAUCCAGCUCGACCCCAACGAGGAAACACAUUCUGAACAGACAGACGCAGCAGCUGACUCUGUCCGGGACGUUUCCGGGGCCCUCCGUACAUCGCCGUGUAACCUCACCCCUGCGCACCGGAGCGGACCGAGCGCACGGUCCGGUGGUGGUGGUGUUGUUGUUGUUGUUGUUGUUGUUGUUGUUGUUGACGUCGUCAGGUCUCUGUCGGUAAAGAAAAAAAAAAAAAAAAAAGGUGGGGGAAGCAGUUGCCUGCCGCUGGAUCUUGACUGCAACGUAUCUGCGCACGAAGGGGCUGGACGGAAAAGAGGAAGAGAAAAAAAAAACCCUCGCACCACAUCAGUGUUUCAACCAAAAUGCCGUUUUCCG
Molecule: RNA transcript, 10134 nt
Organism: Scophthalmus maximus (turbot)
Lineage: Eukaryota; Metazoa; Chordata; Actinopteri; Pleuronectiformes; Scophthalmidae
Gene: sfxn2
Gene name: sideroflexin 2
Exons: 13
Source: RefSeq, a predicted model, not a curated record